CGUAACAAGGUCUCCGUAGGUGAACCUGCGGAGGGAUCAUUACACAAAUAUGAAGGCGGGCUGGAACCUCUCGGGGUUACAGCCUUGCUGAAUUAUUCACCCUUGUCUUUUGCGUACUUCUUGUUUCCUUGGUGGGUUCGCCCACCACUAGGACAAACAUAAACCUUUUGUAAUUGCAAUCAGCGUCAGUAACAAAUUAAUAAUUACAACUUUCAACAACGGAUCUCUUGGUUCUGGCAUCGAUGAAGAACGCAGCGAAAUGCGAUAAGUAGUGUGAAUUGCAGAAUUCAGUGAAUCAUCGAAUCUUUGAACGCACAUUGCGCCCUUUGGUAUUCCAAAGGGCAUGCCUGUUCGAGCGUCAUUUGUACCCUCAAGCUUUGCUUGGUGUUGGGCGUCUUGUCUCUAGCUUUGCUGGAGACUCGCCUUAAAGUAAUUGGCAGCCGGCCUACUGGUUUCGGAGCGCAGCACAAGUCGCACUCUCUAUCAGCAAAGGUCUAGCAUCCAUUAAGCCUUUUUUUCAACUUUUGACCUCGGAUCAGGUAGGGAUACCCGCUGAACUUAAGCAUAUCAA
Molecule: ribosomal RNA, 571 nt
Filed under: Alternaria sp. XSH1
Lineage: Eukaryota; Fungi; Ascomycota; Dothideomycetes; Pleosporales; Pleosporaceae
Description: eukaryotic LSU rRNA
Rfam family: 5.8S ribosomal RNA (bases 208-361)
Source: RNAcentral